This 505-nucleotide ribosomal RNA is filed under the name uncultured bacterium. Its description in RNAcentral is "partial 16S ribosomal RNA". It matches the Rfam family "Bacterial small subunit ribosomal RNA", at positions 28 to 507 of the family's 1533-position model. The record is from RNAcentral.
GACGAACGCUGGCGGCGUGCCUAAUACAUGCAAGUAGAACGCACAGUUUAUACCGUAGCUUGCUACACCAUAAACUGUGAGUUGCGAACGGGUGAGUAACGCGUAGGUAACCUGCCUGGUAGCGGGGGAUAACUAUUGGAAACGAUAGCUAAUACCGCAUAAUAUUGAUUAUUGCAUGAUAAUUGAUUGAAAGAUGCUAUUGCAUCACUACCAGAUGGACCUGCGUUGUAUUAGCUAGUAGGUGAGGUAACGGCUCACCUAGGCGACGAUACAUAGCCGACCUGAGAGGGGGAUCGGCCACACUGGGACUGAGACACGGCCCAGACUCCUACGGGAGGCAGCAGUAGGGAAUCUUCGGCAAUGGACGAAAGUCUGACCGAGCAACGCCGCGUGAGUGAAGAAGGUUUUCGGAUCGUAAAGCUCUGUUGUAAGAGAAGAACGGGUGUGAGAGUGGAAAGUUCACACUGUGACGGUAUCUUACCAGAAAGGGACGGCUAACUACGUG